Molecule: ribosomal RNA, 113 nt
Filed under: Polarella glacialis
Lineage: Eukaryota; Dinophyceae; Suessiales; Suessiaceae
Description: partial Eukaryotic small subunit ribosomal RNA
Source: RNAcentral
UCUUUGCAGCUUGGGAAAAGGGCUUGGAGCUCUGAGGCUUCCGGCGCGAGGCUUUGAUUCCUACCAAGCGCGAGUCAUCGGCUCGUGCUGCCCUUUGUACACACUGCCCGUCG